UAAAGUUGAAAAACCAUAACACCAGUUAAAUAGCCCCGGUAACUCUGACCGUGAUAAAGUAGCAUAAUCAUUUGUCAUUUAAUUGGUGACUAGAAUGAAUGGUUAAACGAAUCUCUAGCUGUCUCAACAAGAAAUAGAACAAAAUUAAAAUUACAGUGAAGAUGCUGUGAAUAAAUUGCAAGACGAAAAGACCCUAUUGAGCUUUACUGGAUGUUUGUGAACUUUUCUCAUCAUAAUAAUAUAAGUGACCUAUAAAGCAAAUAAGACAGUUUGGUUGGGGCGACCACCUCUAAAAUAGUAACAGAGGAGAUCUAAAGGUUAAAUUUAUGAAUACUAACUUUACUGAAAUAAUAAUAGUUUAAUCAGUUACUCACUAAGUAGGACAUAAUGACCCGCUAUUUUUUAUGUAAAAAAUAACGAUUACAGAAUAAGUUACCAUAGGGAUAACAGGGUAAUAGUUUUCAAGAGUUCAUAUCGACGAAACUGUUUGCCACCUCGAUGUUGAAUUGUGAUAUCCUAA
Molecule: ribosomal RNA, 520 nt
Filed under: Cyanea capillata
Lineage: Eukaryota; Metazoa; Cnidaria; Scyphozoa; Semaeostomeae; Cyaneidae
Description: partial 16S ribosomal RNA
Rfam family: Bacterial large subunit ribosomal RNA
Source: RNAcentral